This 439-nucleotide ribosomal RNA is filed under the name uncultured fungus. RNAcentral describes it as "eukaryotic LSU rRNA". It matches the Rfam family "Eukaryotic large subunit ribosomal RNA", at positions 1 to 432 of the family's 3401-position model. Lineage: Eukaryota; Fungi. The record is from RNAcentral.
GACCUCAAAUCAGGUAGGACUACCCGCUGAACUUAAGCAUAUCAAUAAGCGGAGGAAAAGAAACUAACAAGGAUUCCCCUAGUAACUGCGAGUGAAGCGGGAAAAGCUCAAAUUUGAAAUCUGGCAGUUCUUUUGACUGUCCGAGUUGUAAUCUAGAGAAGUGUUACCUGUGCUGGACCAUGUACAAGUCUUCUGGAAUGGAGCAUCAUAGAGGGUGAGAAUCCCGUCUUUGACAUGGACUACCAGUGCACUGUGGUGCACUCUCAAAGAGUCGAGUUGUUUGGGAAUGCAGCUCAAAAUGGGUGGUAAAUGCCACCUAAAGCUAAAUAUUGGCGAGAGACCGAUAGCGAACAAGUACCGUGAGGGAAAGAUGAAAAGAACUUUGGAAAGAGAGUUAAACAGUACGUGAAAUUGCUGAAAGGGAAACGCUUGAAGUCAG